UGCGGGAUGGAGCAGACCGGUAGCUCGUCAGGCUCAUAACCUGAAGGUCGUAGGUUCAAAUCCUACUCCCGCAU
This 74-nucleotide transfer RNA is filed under the name Candidatus Doriopsillibacter californiensis. RNAcentral's name for it is "tRNA-Met". It matches the Rfam family "tRNA". Rfam says of the family: Transfer RNA (tRNA) molecules are approximately 80 nucleotides in length. Their secondary structure includes four short double-helical elements and three loops (D, anti-codon, and T loops). The record is from RNAcentral. Lineage: Bacteria; Pseudomonadati; Pseudomonadota; Gammaproteobacteria; Candidatus Tethybacterales; Candidatus Persebacteraceae.